CACAAGAGCAGGUAGCAGACAUUUUCACUAAGCCUUUGAAGCGUCAAGUGUUCGAGCGUCUCAGAGGGAAGCUUGGAGUUUGUUCUGCUGGUGGUAAACUAAACUUUGCAACCAAAGUUUAGUUUAAGGAGGGUUUGUUGGUGUUUGGCUGUUGGUGUUUUGGCGCUAAUAAAGUGAUCGUGUUGUGUUUGAUUUGUUUGAAUUGGUCUUUGUGUUUGAGCUAGUGGUCAAUAAGGACCGAGUAUUACGGUCAAGUUUGUUUAGGUUCUGUUUCAGUAUUUUACUCUGUUAGUUGAAGUAUUUUCGGGUUUUCAAGUUGACUGUAAGGCUAUUUAUAGUCAUGGUUUCUUUUGAUUAAUGAGAAGUAAGUUUCAGCAACACAUUGUCCGAUUCCAUUGUUUACAAGUUUCUCACAAUGACGGCCAUGUAAGCUUUGGAACGGCGGCGGCAAUCAACGCCAACAACACACAAGGCGGUGGCCCUAGGAUUCAAUUUGCUUCUCCACCUCACGACUCCGAAGACAAAAUGAACACACAACUAGGCAAAUGACAUUGAUUAGAGCGCAAGCCGGGGUGAACAACAACAUAAGGAAACUGAACAUGAGCAUAAACCGUAGUGGCAACAACCACAUCAUGCAUGUGGUUCUUUUCACGCUCCUCGUCUCCUUUAUCGUCUACAUGUGGUCCAAGAUGUUCAAAAGAUAGCGUAAUAUUAAACAAAAAACUGACGAUGAAUGUUCAGAUCAAUCGGCCAAGAAUGGAAUCUAGCAAUCCCCUAUCUCAAGUUAAAAUAUUAUGGAUUUGGUUGUGAGGUUCUUUUUCUUUUUUAAGAUAAACUGGUUCUGAAAUUAUACUCUGGCGAUUUUAUAUUAUACUUUUUUUUGUAUUAUUA
Long non-coding RNA from Arabidopsis lyrata subsp. lyrata, 891 nucleotides. RefSeq lists it as uncharacterized. NCBI's taxonomy places the organism in Eukaryota, Viridiplantae, Streptophyta, Magnoliopsida, Brassicales, Brassicaceae. The record is from RefSeq and is a predicted model, not a curated record. The transcript is spliced from 2 exons.